RNAcentral lists this transfer RNA (88 nucleotides) under Syntrophobacteraceae bacterium. Its description in RNAcentral is "tRNA-Leu". It matches the Rfam family "tRNA". Rfam says of the family: Transfer RNA (tRNA) molecules are approximately 80 nucleotides in length. Their secondary structure includes four short double-helical elements and three loops (D, anti-codon, and T loops). Further hydrogen bonds mediate the characteristic L-shaped molecular structure. tRNAs have two regions of fundamental functional importance: the anti-codon, which is responsible for specific mRNA codon recognition, and the 3' end, to which the tRNAs corresponding amino acid is attached (by aminoacyl-tRNA synthetases). tRNAs cope with the degeneracy of the genetic code in two manners: having more than one tRNA (with a specific anti-codon) for a particular amino acid; and 'wobble' base-pairing, i.e. permitting non-standard base-pairing at the 3rd anti-codon position. The record is from RNAcentral. Lineage: Bacteria; Pseudomonadati; Thermodesulfobacteriota; Syntrophobacteria; Syntrophobacterales; Syntrophobacteraceae.
GCCUGGGUGGCGGAACAGGUAGACGCAAGGGACUUAAAAUCCCUUACUCCUUGUGGGUGUGCGGGUUCGAUUCCCGCCCCAGGUACCA